CCAGUUGUGGCUCAGUGUUAGAGCGCUAGCCUAACAUGUAUGAGGCACUGGGUUUGAUUCUCAGCACUGCA
Molecule: transfer RNA, 71 nt
Filed under: Marmota monax (woodchuck)
Lineage: Eukaryota; Metazoa; Chordata; Mammalia; Rodentia; Sciuridae
Description: tRNA.Val
Source: RNAcentral